Tannerella sp. CAG:51 is the source of this 73-nucleotide non-coding RNA. Lineage: Bacteria; Pseudomonadati; Bacteroidota; Bacteroidia; Bacteroidales; Tannerellaceae. The record is from Rfam.
GCGGGAAUAGCUCAGUUGAUAGAGCAUUAGCCUUCCAAGCUGAGGGUCGCGGGUUUGAGUCCCGUUUCCCGCU